This 376-nucleotide ribosomal RNA is filed under the name uncultured organism. Its description in RNAcentral is "partial 16S ribosomal RNA". It matches the Rfam family "Bacterial small subunit ribosomal RNA", at positions 525 to 896 of the family's 1533-position model. The record is from RNAcentral.
GGGAGGGGCGCAAGCGUUGUUCGGAAUCAUUGGGCGUAAAGCGCGUGUAGGCGGCUUGGGCAAGUCGGGGUGUGAAAGCCCGGGGCUCAACCCCGGAAUUGCACUCGAUACUGCCCUAGCUAGAGUCCCGGAGAGGGUGGCGGAAUUCCCGGUGUAGAGGUGAAAUUCGUAGAUAUCGGGAGGAACACCAGCGGCGAAGGCGGCCACCUGGACGGUGACUGACGCUGAGACGCGAAAGCGUGGGGAGCAAACAGGAUUAGAUACCCUGGUAGUCCACGCCGUAAACGUUGGGUGCUAGGCGCUGCGGGUAUUGACCCCUGCAGUGCCGACGUUAACGCAUUAAGCACCCCGCCUGGGGAGUACGGUCGCAAGAUUA